CGUACACUCCUGCGGGAGGCAGCAGUGGGGAAUAUUGCACAAUGGGCGGAAGCCUGAUGCAGCAACGCCGCGUGCGGGAUGACGGCCUUCGGGUUGUAAACCGCUUUCGCCUGUGACGAAGCGUGAGUGACGGUAAUGGGUAAAGAAGCACCGGCUAACUACGUGCCAGCAGCCGCGGUGAUACGUAGGGUGCGAGCGUUGUCCGGAUUUAUUGGGCGUAAAGGGCUCGUAGGUGGUUGAUCGCGUCGGAAGUGUAAUCUUGGGGCUUAACCCUGAGCGUGCUUUCGAUACGGGUUGACUUGAGGAAGGUAGGGGAGAAUGGAAUUCCUGGUGGAGCGGUGGAAUGCGCAGAUAUCAGGAGGAACACUAGUGGCGAAGGCGGUUCUCUGGGCCUUUCCUGACGCUGAGGAGCGAAAGCGUGGGGAGCGAACAGGCUUAGAUACCCUUGUAGUCCC
Molecule: ribosomal RNA, 455 nt
Filed under: uncultured organism
Description: partial 16S ribosomal RNA
Rfam family: Bacterial small subunit ribosomal RNA
Source: RNAcentral